UAUAUAAUAAAAAUAAUAGCGUAUAUUUUAAUGUUUUAUAUAAUAAAAAUAUUUUUUAUUUUAUUUUGGUUAACAUUUAUAUUAUUUCAAUUAACUAAAUUGUGGGCUAAUCAUUAUUUUUCCAAUAGCAAAUAAAUAAAUCCACAUUUUUGUCAGUGCGAUUUUCUGAUAUAGACAAAUUAGCGAAAGAAAUAUUAUAUGACAUUUAGAAGUGAGAAACGUGUCAACUUCACAGAUUCUUCCUCGGCAAGUCUAGAAACCACAUCACCAUCACUUAAUUGUAUUUAUUUAUUUCCCCCCUCCUCCGGGAAAUAUAACAAGGCAUGACGAUAUAAAGAAACAAUAUAAAUAGACUAUUUUAAAAAAAAAUGCAAAUGUAUUUUAAAAUUGUUAAGACUCAAAUUAUUACUCGCGUGCAAUGCCCGCGAAAGAACCAGAGUUUAUAAAGCGGUGUCCGUGACCGGAGCGCACGCAUAGCCCGACUCCAUUCAGACAGUGGAAGAGAAGUGAAUAAGAAGACACACAAUUUUCCUGCGCAGCUAAAAAAAAAAAAACAACUAAAUCCAAAACAUCAAUGGCGCAUCCAUAUACCACCCCUCAAAAGUUGGCACUAAAAUGUAUACAGACACGCUUAAUCCAAAAAGCUGGCUCAUUUGUCCGCCGAGGCUUUAAAAUUGCAAUAGCAACACAGCACACAUCAACAGUCUGUGCCCUCACAGAUGGUAGUAGGGCCAUUUAUCAUAAGAAAAAUGGCUCUUAUCCUGAAUUUGAGGAGGGGGCAUCGUACAUUUUAAAAAACUGCACUUUGUCUGACAGACAUGGGAGGCUUUAUCUUCUUGUUGGAAGAUCCACUUUAAAGUUUAGAACAGGUCCGUUAAAAAUUUCUGAGGAGGCAGAGAGAGCUGCAGUGGAAUUAAUCCAUCCACCAUCCUAUUCUGCCACUGGUGAGGAGGAGGAUUUGUUUUCCAGGAGUGGAUAUCUCAGCCUCCAAGGAAAGGUUGAAAAAUUGCAGAAAGUAAGGAUGACCAUGUCUGACAUCCCAGUCUUGGACCUCAAGCUAAAGUGCGGCGAAAGGCUCCUUGAUGUGUCCCUGUGGAGGGAUGAAGCACUUUCUGAACUCCAUGACGGAGACAAUGUGCAAAUCAGUCACAUGCGUGCCACCAUUUUGGCAAGUGGCAAUGGAAAAUUUCAGUCUUCAAACUAUACUACAAUUAAGGUACUUAUGAUAAUAUACUCCACAUUACACAGUACAUCUAUCUAUCUAUCUAUCUAUCUAUCUAUCUUGAAUGUCUGUCUUCUCUCUGUUAUGUGUAAAUAUGAGAUAAUUAGUACACACACACACACACACACACACACACACUAGUGCACACACACACACGCACACACACACUCACUCACUCACUGGCACUUGCUCACUAGCGCACACACAUAUACUCACUCACUAGCACGCACACACACUCCCUCUCUAGUACACACACACUCACUAGUGCACACAGACACACACACAUUCACACACACACACACACACACACACACACACACACACACACACACACACACACACACACANCACACACACACACACACACACUCACUAGUGCACACAGACACACACACAUUCACUCACCAGUGCAAACACAAACUUACUCACUAGUGCACACACAUAUACUCACUCACUAGCACACACACACACACACACACACACACACACACACACA
This is a long non-coding RNA of Cyprinus carpio (common carp), 1718 nucleotides long. The record is from Ensembl. NCBI's taxonomy places the organism in Eukaryota, Metazoa, Chordata, Actinopteri, Cypriniformes, Cyprinidae.